Molecule: long non-coding RNA, 2147 nt
Organism: Pseudophryne corroboree (corroboree frog)
Lineage: Eukaryota; Metazoa; Chordata; Amphibia; Anura; Myobatrachidae
Exons: 3
Source: RefSeq, a predicted model, not a curated record
AGCCAGGGAGGGACACAGGAGACGCGCGAUGCGCUCCAUGUCCCUCCAACACAGCAGGGAGGGAGACAUCAGAUUGACAUGCGGGCGCUCGUCCGCAUGUCAAUCUGUGUAAUGUCAGAGGCGCCACUGCGAGGCGCCCUCUGCGGGUCAGGAGCCCGGCGGCAGCCGACUCCGCUGCCUCCCGGACUUCCGCCCCUGCAUGAAAGCAAGGACCUGUAAAAACACCUUUGCGGCUGCCAGGAAAAGCAGGAGAUGAGGCCACGCCUUCUUUUUUGGCCAUGCCCCCCAUACAGCCCUCAUCUGCCUGACUGCACCAUCCCCAUCUAUCAGUUGGUAAAAGCAGAUGUCAUCAGCAGCAGCAGCAGCAGCACGCUUGGUGAAGGAGUUGCGAAUCAAGUCAAAUGGAUCUUUGUAUACUCUCACCUCUUAAUACCCUGCAAUUCUACCAAAUACCCUGCAAUUCUACCAACACAACACAACAACUUGGGUUGCUGUAUGUGCUGGAGUAUGAAUGAAGCUGGAUUGCCUAGUAAUGCUACUCUUCAUACAGGCCACUGGUAGUUGUAAUGGGAGACUAAUGCAGCAGAGGAAGACAAGAUGCAGGCUAGCAGGAUAGCCUAUGGCUGUAGCAGGUUAGCAGGAUUUGCCAAGAGCUGGAGGAUAGGUGAUAACUUGGUCAAAUCUGGGCUCUCGCUGGGCCACUCAAGGACAUUUACAGAGUUAUCCUUAAGCCACUCCUUUAAUAUCUUGGCUGUGUGCUUAGGGUCGUUGUCCUGCUGAAAGAUGAACCGUCGCCCCAGUCUGAGGUCAAGAGCGCUCUGUAGCAGGUUUUCAACCAGGAUGUUUCUGUACAUUUCUGCAUUCAUCUUUAUCUCUAUCCUGACUAGUCUCCCAGUUCCUGCUGCUGAAAAAUAUCCCCACAGCAUGAUGCUGCCACCAUUAUGUUUUACUGUAGGGAUGGCAUUUAUUUAUUUAUUUAUUUAUUUAUUACCAGUUAUUUAUAUAGGGCACACAUAUUCCGCAGCGCUUUACAGAGAAUAUUUGGCCAUUCACAUCAGUCCCUGCCCCAGCGGGUAUAGUAUAUAUGCAUGCGCGAAUUGAGUGGCGCAAGAUAUAAAAAAGCCCUGAGUAAUUGCAGUAUAACUAUAGACACUGAUGAAGCCGCUGACUGAACUUUAAGCGGAGAAACGCGUUUGUCAUAUCUACUACAAGGGAGAGUUGGAUAUCUGAAUUAAGUGCCAGCCGGCCAGAGGCAGCUAAUUACACGGAAAGGAUUGGACAUCUUACCUGUUAUCCAUCAUACGGUGGACUCCGGAUAAGGCUAGUUUUGGAGGCGACAGCCGGGAGAGGUAUUUAAGCACGUGUAAAGCUGCAAAGUAAUAUGUGGAUAAAUAUUCCUAUGGUUUUGAUGAGCGGGGACUAUGAAUGACUAUAAAGCUGAAAGCAUCAUCUAAUACCAGCAUAAAUAUAUGGGGAAACUCCGUUUGGAGACCGCUUUUUUAACCAAUUGUGCACUCAAAGAACUGUUACUCGAAAUAUAAAUGGAGGCUUGUUAAACAGCUACACAGGCACUAAAUUACAACUGAGACACCAGUUACUAUUGUAUCAGAUUGAGGAAAAAAGCUACUAUUGUGACAAUAGUGUUGGAUGAGAUUGUUCAGGUUAAGUGUUUAGCUGCACGUAAUUCUGCAUAGUUAGGAGUGUAUAAAUUCUCUGGUUGGCAACAAAAGAUAGUAAUAUGGUAUGAAUUGUAUAUUAUAAUUAUAUCAAUUAGUAAUAUUGUAUAGUUUAAAUUUUUUUUAUAUGGGUUAUUAAAAAACUAUUUUUAAUGUGAAUGUGCCAACGCUGUCCUUGUAUUUUUGUAUGUUGUUGUUCAGGCUGUGAACCUAGCCUUUUGGACACAGCAGCAGGCGUUUUCACAACAACAAUAGCGCCGGAUUUUGUGUGUAUAUAUUUUUUAACUUGGUUUAUGUUGCUGAAAUUAAAAAGUACGUAAACACUUUCAUAAUGUGUCUACUACGCAUCUUUGGGUUACUUGGUUGGUGUUCUAAUGGACGUGUGACAACUAAUUUUCCUUACGUUUUAUCAAGUUUUUUUUUCUUAUAUUCCUUUUCUAAUUUUUCUUUCCCCCUCUCUUUUUCUUUAUU